RNAcentral lists this ribosomal RNA (301 nucleotides) under uncultured bacterium. RNAcentral's name for it is "partial 16S ribosomal RNA". It matches the Rfam family "Bacterial small subunit ribosomal RNA", at positions 509 to 807 of the family's 1533-position model. The record is from RNAcentral.
CAGCAGCCACGGGAAUACGUAGGUGGCAAGCGUUGUCCGGAAUUAUUGGGCGCAAAGGGCUCGCAGGCGGUUUCUUAAGUCUGAUGUGAAAGCCCCCGGCUCAACCGGGGAGGGUCAUUGGAAACUGGGAAACUUGAGUGCAGAAGAGGAGAGUGGAAUUCCACGUGUAGCGGUGAAAUGCGUAGAGAUGUGGAGGAACACCAGUGGCGAAGGCGACUCUCUGGUCUAUAACUGACGCUGAGGAGCGAAAGCGUGGGGAGCGAACAGGAUUAGAGACCCGCGUAGUCCCUGUCUCUUAUAC